This is an RNA transcript of Topomyia yanbarensis, 759 nucleotides long. It is a transcript of the gene named nucleoside diphosphate kinase 6-like, with no coding region annotated. The transcript is spliced from 4 exons. The record is from RefSeq and is a predicted model, not a curated record. NCBI's taxonomy places the organism in Eukaryota, Metazoa, Arthropoda, Insecta, Diptera, Culicidae.
CGAUUGCAUAAACAUUGGCACAGCACAGCACACUGCGACUGCAGUCAGUCAAGUACGAUCACAACCAGCUAUGAGUGCAUUUACUUUGGCCAUUUUCAAGCCACAUUUGCUGAAAAAUCCGGUGGCCUACGGUGCCCUGGAGAAGCUCAUCGAAACGAGUGGCAUACGGAUAGUGACGAGAAAGCGGUUGCAGCUUACCGAACCGCAGGCGAAACAGUUCUACCGGGAUCAUGAGGGAAAAUUUUUCCACCGAAGGCUGAUUGCGUUAAUGACCAGUGGACCACUGGAGGUGCUAAUCCUGACCGGGGAGAAUGUGAUUACCCGUUGGAGGGAGCUGAUGGGACCGACGAAGGUGUUGAAAGCUGUCUACUCGCAUCCGAACUGUGUGCGAAGUUUGUUUGGGCUUUCCGAUACGAGGAAUGCCAGUCACGGAUCAGCCGUUUUCUGCGAUUAAAACCCGUCUGGAACACAAACACGAGUUCGCGAGAUCAGUGAUUUACUCCGGCACCACCAAAGCAGGAUUCGGUGGCCUCUUUUCAGACCGAGGCGGCGAUAUUCUUCCCGGAUCUGAAGCUUUUAUCGGAUGACAACGGCAAGACAAAAUCGUAGUUUUUAGCGCCACCAAAAAUUAGAUAGCGUAAGAAAAAAGUUGGUAAACUCUUUGCGGCUUAGUCACUACCAAGGUAUGUAUUUUUUCUGUCUCUUCAUCCGGCGUUGUUGAUAUGACGAUGAACAAUAAAAAAGCAAUAUUGAAUCAUA